UUGGGUUGGCCGUUUUCAGCCAUUUUCGGUCGAAUUCGGCCAAAAUUGCAUUAGUUCUUGCGAUAAAACAACCCUAGGGCCCUCGUUGGGCCAAAAAAUUACGAAAAACUGAGACUUACCGGCGGCGGAGCACUCAGAUGUGGCGGCUUCUCCGGUGCGAGUCACGAUUUGUAUUUUGCUCCGGUCAACUUGUAGAGAAAAGGACGGUGAUCACAGUGGUGUAAAAAUUACAUCGAACAGGAAUCGGAAAGGGUCUCAUCGGAGGUAAAAAUCGAGGGAAGCCGCGGCGGCGACGCUGGACUUCAGCGGUGUUUUUCGGUCGAUUGGCUGGUGUUUGGCUCCAAUUUGGCCAUAGGCGGAUUCAACAUCGAAAAACGAGCCAUGGGAAGAAAAUUUACCUCAUUUGAUGGUCGAAAAAACCUCUGGUGCGGCGGCGGGUAGCAGCGGCCGGCUCCUCCGGUGACUGGUUCUUCUUCUCCGGCGAGGGUUCUGGCGGCUAGGGUUUGGGGUCGGGUGUGGGUGAGGUUAUUUAUAAUAUUUUUCUUUUAAUCUCAGCCGUCCAUCACGAUUUAAUCUGGGUCGUCCGAUCAUGAUUAAAAUGGAAAUAAAUCUGGACCGUCCAUCACGAUGCGAUCUGGGCUGUCCGUGCGUGAUUCAAUCUGGGUUGUCCGCACGCGUGAGAUCUGGGCCGUCCGUGCGCGUGAGAUCUGGGUCGUCCGCACGUGUGAGAUCUGG
RNAcentral lists this long non-coding RNA (735 nucleotides) under Carica papaya (papaya). RNAcentral describes it as "long non-coding RNA (CPAP_LNC008324)". The record is from RNAcentral. Lineage: Eukaryota; Viridiplantae; Streptophyta; Magnoliopsida; Brassicales; Caricaceae.